AUACGUAGGGGGCGAGCGUUGUCCGGAAUGAUUGGGCGUAAAGGGCGCGUAGGCGGCGCGGUAAGUCUGGAGUGAAAGUCCUGCUUUCAAGGUGGGAAUUGCUUUGGAUACUGCCGCGCUUGAGUGCAGGAGAGGUUAUCGGAAUUCCCGGUGUAGCGGUGAAAUGCGUAGAGAUCGGGAGGAACACCAGUGGCGAAGGCGGGUAACUGGACAGUAACUGACGCUGAGGCGCGAAAGUGUGGGGAGCAAACAGGAUUAGAUACCCUGGUAGUCCACACUGUAAACGAUGAAUGCUAGGUGUAAGAGGUAUCGACCCCUUUUGUGCCGGAGUUAACACAAUAAGCAUUCCGCCUGGGGAGUACGGCCGCAAGGUUGAAACUCAAAUGAAUUGGCGGGG
This 397-nucleotide ribosomal RNA is filed under the name uncultured bacterium. Its description in RNAcentral is "partial 16S ribosomal RNA". It matches the Rfam family "Bacterial small subunit ribosomal RNA", at positions 523 to 918 of the family's 1533-position model. The record is from RNAcentral.